UUAAGGGGAAAAAACUGAAUUGCUAUUUCGUCUUGAAGAUAGAAAUCAAUCUGCUGCAAAUUAAGGCAAAUUGCACAAGCUUGAAGCGGAAAUUUACUGCACAUAUGAUCACAUUUUGGAAGGAGAAGGCUAGAGCCAAUUUACACUACUUGCACAGGCAUUAAUACUGAUACAGACAAAAGAGUAGGGCUACCUAUACUUUUGGGCUAGAAUUUCUUGUGUCCAAGUAGUUGAUAUUAGUGUGUAGACUAGAGAGUGAAGUUGAGGGAGUGGAAACUGUAGUAUGGUUUCUUUCCCUCGGCACCUACAUUGAAGCCUUGUGACUUGAGCUGGCAUAAUGAUGCUACCGACUCCUUCAUAGUUUCAGGUCCACAAACCAAGACUCCAACAUCAGAUCCUUCAGUUUCAUUUGGAAACUUGGAGAACAUAUCUAUAUGCAUAUCAUGUUAGAACAUAGAUCAUAACUAUAGAUCAAAGUUAAAAAAAAUAUGUUUUUCAGAAUUUUUCUUUUUUUUCAAAAAAGAAGCAAUAAAUUUAUAUAUAGUACCGUGGAAAUUAGGCCUUCCCACAAAAUGGAUUUCAUGUUCCUCAAAAGCACUGAUUUCCACUUGACGCGGUUCCGCUGAUUUGCCUUGUUUUUGGGAGACUGGAGGAAUCGCUUUCUUGAGCCUUUUCCAUCUCAAAAUGAAUGCCAAAAAAGUGCUGCAUGUUAUAGCUAUGAUGAACGAAGAUAAGAGAAGUAGAUCAACCACCGAUGAAGGAGUCUUUUCUUUUGGGACCUUCUUCUCUCGGCGAACAACCAACUUUUCGGAGGCAGCACCGCCAUUCUUCUCCGAGGAAACAAAGAUGUGGUUGAAACACAUCAGAAAAACAAGAAACACAACGCAGGUUAAUGCGGUUAAGGCAGCCAUCCAAAGAGGACUUUCUAGUCCAUGCACCGCAUAAUUGGAAAUUUUUGUGUCGAAGUUAACUGUUUGUAUUACAGAAAAAUCAUUUAGUAAUUCUCCCAAGCUUGCAUUAGACUUCUCUUCUUGGGUCACAAAAACUUUCAGCUUUAGAUUCAAUUGUUUGGAUGAAGACUGGUUUAGAAGUAGAGAAGAUAUUGAGUUCAACAGACAAAUUUCUUGGGACUUUUUCACUACAUAAAUAAGCUGUAUUUGUGUUGGGAAUCUGUAUCUGCUGCUGCUGCUGCUUUGGACAGAAGCAAUUUCCUUUAAGAUGCUCAGAAAUGGGGUUAUCCCAAUUCCGCCUGCGAUCAGGACUAGGUUGUCAUAUCUCAGGAAGUCCAGUGAGGCGGGUCCAUAGGGGCCUUCAAUUGCUGCAUGUAUGCAACUCAUAUGAUCUGCAUUUGAAUCUAAAUCUGCUUGUAUCAUGUCAUAUAAAGAACUUGUCCAGCCUCCCUCACACUUUAUUAUAACGGACAUCACUUCAUCAUCAACAUUGGAACUAGAAGUUAUACUGAAGGAAUGCCACUGAUACUUGGAUAUACUUGGUAUCUUCAUAAAUAUCACACUUGUUGGGGUAUAUUUCAACCUUGGAUCUUUAGGCAGAAUAAGUUCUACAGCUUUAUUGGGAAAUACUCUUGCUGAGAGAAUGCAAGUUUCUGGUCUUGAUUGUAUGGUUCGGAGCAGCUUGUCGAGACCAAAGAGAAACAUUCCAGGGAAAACCAUAUAGAAAUGUCGGUCUCCAGCAUGAAAUAGGAAGAAUAUUAAGAACGAAAUAUAAAGAUGGUGUGUGUAGUAGAAGAUUUCGAAUCUUUUCCUCCUUAUUUGAGGAAGUGAUGUAAUCCAGAUUACUAGUCCAGUGACAAGAGCUAUCUCCCCAGCUAAGUAUAUCCUCCCUGUUUUCUGCCAUCUCCACAUCUCAUCUUGAAUGUGGUGGCUGACACCCCAGAUGAACAAGGUGCUUCCACCAUGAACAGUGGCAAAAAAUAUCAUUGAAGUCCCAAGCCAGAUAUGGUAUCUUACUGAAGCUUCAAAUUGGAUGCCAAGUAAUUGAAAUAAGGCCAGGCCCCUUAAAAUAGGCAGAAGAAGCAAAGCCAGGCAGGCUUCUGCUAGCAAACCAAAACGGGUUGCCACUCUCAGAUACUUGAGUUGCCAUAAAUUCAAUUUCGGAGAUUUGAUUGGCAUCAAGUUCUUGAAAUCGUUAGAGAUGCGGGUAUAAUAAGUCCAUGCUAAAAAGAGGAUGAAGAGGAACACACCCAGGAUCUCUAUGCAAGACAAAAUACCCACAAAGCUGUUUACUAUCACAGGAUUUGAGAAACCAAUAGUUGAGCUCCUUGCUUUUCUCCUUCUUAAUGGCUCCUUGGACAGCAAAUUCAAGUAAACAAGUCCAAUUAUAGCCAGAGAAAUUACAGGAAAUGUGUACACAGCAAAGUCAAGACCGUAAUAGCCAAAUAGUGUAGGCCUAGUGCUAUCUUCAGCUCCUUUCCAUUUUCUUGUCCAUAGAUUAGUAGGCUUUAGCAGCCAAAGAGAAACCCAACCAGCAAAUAUUAAGAUCAUCAAUAAUUUUAGAAUGGCAAGAAGAAUAGAUUUUGCCAUGUCUGCCUCCUAAGAUUGUUUCAAGAAGGUAUUAAGCAUAUAGAGAAUCCUGAAGAAAGAUUGAUCCAUUCGGCUUGAAAAUUGCAGAUAGCCCCACCACUGGCUUUCAAAAAUAUGCCAAUAACUUGCAUAGCCACCCAAUAUGAAGAUUGUAUAUAUGCCACCAUCUUUCAGAAGUGCUCAUCAUUCAUCCACUUCCCCAUAGUCUUCGAGUGUCAAUUUUCUGCAGUAUGAUCUGAAAUGGAUAUGUGUGUUUAUCAUAUGAGAAGAAAAAUUUUCAGCAUUUCAAUAAUAUUUUCCAUUACAAAAUAGAAGAAGUUGUCACUUGACAUUGAUUGGAGUAAUUUUAAUGGAAAAUUAUGACAGAACAUUCUCAUAGGUUGUAUUUGCAGGCAAAAAGGUCACUUCCUG
Molecule: unclassified non-coding RNA, 2951 nt
Filed under: Hevea brasiliensis (rubber tree)
Lineage: Eukaryota; Viridiplantae; Streptophyta; Magnoliopsida; Malpighiales; Euphorbiaceae
Source: RNAcentral